UCCGCUCCCGCGCCUCCUGCCUCCUCCCCCGUCGUCCUGGUCCGCGGCGCCCGAGGGGGGAGGCGGCAGGCGCCCGGAGCCGCGCGAGGAGCCGCGGCCGCCGCGCCAUGGAGCCCGAGUGAGCGCGGCGCGGGCCCGUCCGGUUCCGGACAACAUGGAGGCGGCGCCGCCCCGGCCUCGGCCGCCGCCGCUGCUGCUGCUGCUCGCGCUCUGCUGCAGCCUGGCCCCCGCCGCGGCCUCGCCGCUCCUCCUGUUUGCCAACCGCCGGGACGUACGGCUGGUGGACGCCGGCGGAGUCAAGUUGGAGUCCACCAUUGUGGUCAGCGGCCUGGAGGAUGCGGCUGCGGUGGAUUUCCAGUUCUCCAAGGGAGCCGUGUACUGGACGGAUGUGAGCGAGGAGGCCAUCAAGCAGACCUACCUGAACCAGACGGGGGCUGCCGUGCAGAACGUGGUCAUCUCCGGCCUGGUGUCGCCCGACGGCCUGGCCUGUGACUGGGUCGGCAAGAAGCUGUACUGGACGGACUCGGAGACCAAUCGCAUCGAGGUGGCCAAUCUCAAUGGGACGUCCCGGAAGGUCCUCUUCUGGCAGGACCUGGACCAGCCGCGGGCCAUCGCCUUGGACCCCGCUCACGGGUACAUGUACUGGACAGACUGGGGAGAGAUACCCCGGAUCGAACGGGCAGGGAUGGAUGGCAGCACCCGGAAGGUUAUCGUGGACUCGGACAUUUACUGGCCCAACGGGCUGACCAUCGACCUGGAGGAGCAGAAGCUGUACUGGGCGGACGCCAAGCUCAGCUUCAUCCACCGCGCCAACCUGGACGGCUCCUUCCGGCAGAAGGUCGUGGAAGGCAGUCUGACGCACCCUUUUGCCCUGACGCUCUCUGGAGACACUCUGUACUGGACAGACUGGCAGACCCGCUCCAUCCACGCCUGUAACAAGAGGACUGGAGACAAGAGGAAGGAGAUCCUUAGCGCUCUCUACUCGCCCAUGGACAUCCAAGUGCUCAGCCCAGAGCGGCAGCCUUACUACCACACGCAAUGUGAGGAGAACAACGGCGGCUGCUCCCACCUGUGCCUGCUGUCCCCGAGGGAGCCCUUCUACGCGUGCGCCUGCCCCACCGGUGUGCAGCUUCAGGACAACGGCCAGACGUGCAAGGCAGGGGCCGAGGAGGUGCUGCUACUGGCCCGGCGGACGGACCUGCGGAGGAUCUCGCUGGACACGCCGGACUUCACAGACAUCGUGCUGCAGGUGGACGACAUCCGGCAUGCCAUCGCCAUCGACUACGACCCGCUGGAGGGCUACGUGUACUGGACGGACGACGAGGUGCGUGCCAUCCGCAGGGCGUACCUGGACGGGUCGGGGGCCCAGACGCUGGUCAACACCGAGAUCAACGACCCCGACGGCAUUGCAGUCGACUGGGUGGCCCGCAACCUCUAUUGGACGGACACGGGCACCGACCGCAUCGAGGUGACGCGCCUCAACGGCACCUCCCGCAAGAUCCUGGUGUCCGAGGACCUGGACGAGCCCCGCGCCAUCGUGCUGCACCCCGUGAUGGGCCUCAUGUACUGGACAGACUGGGGGGAGAACCCCAAAAUAGAGUGUGCCAACCUGGACGGGCAGGAGCGGCGCGUCCUGGUCAACACCUCCCUGGGCUGGCCCAAUGGCUUGGCUCUGGACCUGCAGGAGGGGAAGCUGUACUGGGGAGAUGCCAAGACGGACAAAAUCGAGGUGAUCAACAUCGACGGGACAAAGAGGCGGACGCUCCUGGAGGACAAGCUCCCACACAUUUUCGGGUUCACGCUGCUGGGGGACUUCAUCUACUGGACCGACUGGCAGCGGCGCAGCAUCGAGCGCGUGCACAAGGUCAAGGCGAGCCGGGACGUCAUCAUCGACCAGCUGCCCGACCUGAUGGGGCUCAAGGCUGUGAAUGUGGCCAAGGCCGUCGGGACCAACCCGUGUGCAGACAGGAAUGGGGGCUGCAGCCACCUGUGCUUCUUCACGCCCCGCGCCGCCAAGUGCGGCUGCCCCAUCGGCCUGGAGCUUCUGAGUGACAUGAAGACCUGCAUCGUCCCCGAGGCCUUCCUCGUGUUCACCAGCCGGGCCGCCAUCCACAGGAUCUCCCUGGACACCAAUAACAACGACGUGGCCAUCCCGCUCACGGGUGUCAAGGAGGCCUCUGCCCUGGAUUUUGACGUGUCCAACCAUCACAUCUACUGGACUGACGUCAGCCUAAAGACCAUCAGCCGGGCCUUCAUGAACGGGAGCUCCGUGGAGCACGUGAUCGAGUUUGGCCUCGACUACCCGGAAGGCAUGGCCGUCGACUGGAUGGGCAAGAACCUCUACUGGGCGGACACCGGGACCAAUAGGAUCGAAGUGGCCCGGCUGGACGGGCAGUUCCGGCAGGUCCUUGUGUGGAGGGAUCUGGACAACCCGAGGUCGCUGGCCCUGGACCCCACCAAAGGCUACAUCUACUGGACCGAGUGGGGCGGCAAGCCCAGGAUCGUGCGGGCCUUCAUGGACGGGACCAACUGCGUGACGCUGGUGGACAAGGUGGGCCGGGCCAACGACCUCACCAUCGACUACGCCGACCAGCGUCUCUACUGGACGGACCUGGACACCAACAUGAUUGAGUCAUCCAACAUGCUGGGUCAGGAACGGGUUGUGAUUGCCGAUGACCUCCCGCACCCCUUCGGCCUGACGCAGUACAGUGAUUACAUCUACUGGACAGACUGGAACCUGCACAGCAUUGAGCGAGCCGACAAGACCAGUGGCCGGAACCGCACCCUCAUCCAGGGCCACCUGGAUUUCGUGAUGGACAUCCUGGUGUUCCACUCCUCCCGCCAGGAUGGCCUCAAUGACUGCAUGCACAACAAUGGGCAGUGUGGGCAGCUGUGCCUCGCUGUCCCCAGCGGCCGCCGCUGCAGCUGUGCCUCACAUUACACCCUGGACCCCAGUAGCCGCAACUGCAGCCCACCCACCACCUUCCUGCUCUUCAGCCAGAAGUGUGCUAUCAGCCGAAUGAUCCCUGAUGACCAGCACAGCCCAGACCUCAUCCUGCCGCUGCACGGGCUGAGGAACGUCAAGGCCAUCGACUAUGACCCGCUGGACAAGUUCAUCUACUGGGUAGAUGGGCGCCAGAACAUCAAACGAGCCAAGGACGACGGGACCCAGCCCUUCGUUUUGACCUCUCCGAGCCAAAGCCAGAACCCGGACAGGCAGCCGCACGACCUCAGCGUGGACGUCUACAGCCGGACCCUGUUUUGGACUUGCGAGGCCACCGACACGAUCAACGUCCACCGGCUGAACGGGGAAGCCAUGGGCGUGGUGCUCCGCGGGGACCGCGACAAGCCGAGGGCCAUCGUCGUCAACGCCGAGCGAGGGUACCUGUACUUCACUAACAUGCAGGACCGAGCAGCCAAGAUAGAGCGCGCGGCCCUGGACGGCACCGAGCGCGAGGUCCUCUUCACCACGGGCCUCAUCCGCCCCGUGGCCCUCGUGGUGGACAACACGCUGGGCAAGCUCUUCUGGGUGGACGCCGACCUGAAGCGCAUUGAAAGCUGCGACCUGUCAGGGGCCAACCGCCUGACCCUGGAGGAUGCCAACAUCGUGCAGCCUGUGGGCCUGACUGUGCUGGGCAGGCACCUCUACUGGAUCGACCGCCAGCAGCAGAUGAUUGAGCGCGUGGACAAGACCACAGGGGAUGCGCGGACACGAGUCCAGGGCCGUGUCGCCCACCUGACCGGCAUCCAUGCCGUGGAGGACAUCAGCCUGGAGGAGUUCUCAGCCCACCCUUGUGCCCGGGACAAUGGCGGCUGUUCCCACAUCUGCAUUGCCAAGGGUGAUGGGACGCCACGGUGCUCAUGCCCAGUCCACCUCGUGCUCCUGCAGAACCUGUUGACUUGUGGUGAAGCAGCCAUCCUCCAUCACAGGCUCCUCAUGGGAGUAACAAAGACAGCGGAGAAAGCAUGUGCACAUGCGUGUGUAUGUUUUAUGCCCCAGCGUGUGGUCUACCUUGGUGAAUAUUCCAUGUGAGCCUGAGAAGAUGUGUCAUCUGAUGUUGCUGGGUGGAGUGUUCAGUAAAUGUUGGUUAGACCCAGCUGAUGGAUAGUGCUGUUCAGGUUGUCUGUAUCCUUCCUGACUGUUUGUGCUGUCAGUUACUGAUGGAGGUGUUGAAGUCUCCAAUAGUGGGUUUGUCUAAUUUUUUAGUACUGUCUUUUCUCCGCCUUCUACCCUUGAUCGUCUUCUUCCCUAAGGUUGCACAGGGAGUGGCCAAGAAUGUAAGCUGCAGUGUCAGACAGACCUGGGUUCAAAUCCCAGCUUUGCCACUUCCCAGCUGAGUGACCCUGGGCUGGUCACUCACCUCUCUGAGCCUCCACUUCCUUCUCUGUGAAAUAGAGAAAUUGAGAGCACUUACUUGAUGGGGUUGUUAUUAAGUAACAGAGUACUUUACAUGGUCCCUGACACAUGGCACACAGGAAUGCCAGCUGCUAUUAGUUGUGAGAAUGGCAGUAGUAAUAAAAAGGAAUAAUUGUCAUUGUCACCAUGAUGAAACCCAAUCCCCAGGACUUCCUCUCCUCUUCCUGCAGGUCCCCCAGGUGACCUUGGAUGUGCUGUUUCUGUGUUCCUCUCUUCUUCCCUCCUCCUCUGAGCUCCUGCGGGCCGGUCUUUACCCUGUCCCUUUGCUUCUCAUCCUCACCCCCACGACCUCCACGCUGUGUCCCACACACGGCAUAUGCUCAGCACAUCUCCGGGAAGCAGGACCGUGGGCCUGUCCUUCUGGAGCUUUCUCCUGCCCCACCUCACACUGUGAACCCCAGAGAGCUUGGCCAAGAACAGAGGGGAUGUUUCAUGACUGUCCCGUGGUGGGGGUCACCUUGACCCUCCUGAGCUUCCUGGUGGCUUGUUUCUGAGUUCCGGCCCCAGGGCCCAAGUGGUUGUGCAGGUCCCACAGACGUCCAGGCUGCCCUGGAGGAGACGGGGCCGGGGAGGGAGCUGCACAGAGUGCUCAGCUCUCCCUGGGACCCCAGCCCUGGGCCUCCCCAGGGGAGGACGCAUCCCUCUGUCACCCGCCCCCGGGCUUUGGCCCUCAGACUUGAGGAUGCCAGGCCCUUCCUCACGGCCUAAGAGGCCUGUAUUUACUGUGUCCCUGGCCUCUGCUCUGGGGGCUCACAGGAGGAUAAGGGCUGACUGAAGUUCCCAGGAGGUGCCAUGGACCCUCGUGCCUCGUGCACCGGCAGAGCAGCGCCACUGCCAAUGCUGCGCACGCGCACAUUACCUAACCAGGCACCGCACGCGUGCACACACUCGCUCACACAUGCCCGUGCGCGUGCUCUCUCCGCUGUCCUCGUUACUCCCGCGAGGAGCCUGUGAUGGAGGGUGGCUGCUUCUGUUUUAGGGACGAGGGGACGGAGGCUCUGGGAGGUUGGGGGGUCCUCGGGUCGCACAGCUGCUGGGGGAGCCUGGGUUCAACCCCAGGUCUGUGCAACCCCCAUCCUGUCCCGUCCUCACUCUCCGGCCGCUGCUGCCAGGACUGGGGGCCCUGCGGGGAGUCAGAGCCUGCCCCACGUGGACCCUCUUCUUCCUGCUGGGCUGUGGGGGGCUGGAGUCCAGGAGCGGGGCCUCGGCCACUGUCCACGUGCACCUUUCCGUGGCCAGCAUCCCUGUGUUCUCUGUUGGUGGCUCAGUGAGCACACAUCCGUUGUUGGCUCCUUUGUCCCCGGCUGUCCUCUGUGGCCGAGCCCAGUGGGAACAGCGGCCUUGUGUUCAUUUUUGCUCACAUCUCCUCCCCCAUCUCACAUCCCUAUUCAGCCCAGUGUGGACCCCGCAGUUAUGGGGGAGGCAUGUGGGUUCCCAAUGUUGAAAGGCUUAGUACAUCUUGAAAUCAGUACUUUUGUGAAACUGAAAGCUUUGUUGUUUUUUUGACCGUGCUGCGUGGCUUGUGUCCCUUAGUUCCCUGACCAGGGAUUGAACCCAGGGCACGGCAGUGACAGUGCCGACUCCUAACCACUGGACCGCCAGGGAACUCCCGACACCUUUUUCCUUAAUCAGAUUUCAAGGGUAUUGAGGACUGUUGCUAAACGUUAAAACGAAGUUUGGACCAGUUUCUGGGGCUCAGUUUCCUGUGAUUUUCCAGACCGAGGAGUGGAGAGACGAUGACGGGCCCCCUGGGAAAUGGGGGCAGCCUGGGACCAAGGGGCUCCUCCUGUGUCUCUCUGCCAGUGCCCUGGCAUCCGUGCCCACCUGCGUCUCGGCCUCCAGGACAGUGCCACUGCGCGUAGCCACUGAGUGCUAUUGCGCGUCUGGCCCAUUCUUAGCCUGCACUGGGGAAGUUGACCCCGAGGGGGAAGUGACUUGCCAUGGCCACCUGAGCCUCCUACGUGCUCCCCGGACCAGUUUGCGUGCGCCACUGGGGAGAUCGACUGCAUUCCUGGGGCCUGGCGCUGCGACGGCUUCCCGGAGUGUGAUGACCAGAGCGACGAGGAGGGC
This is an RNA transcript of Orcinus orca (killer whale), 6487 nucleotides long. It is a transcript of the gene named LDL receptor related protein 5, with no coding region annotated. The record is from RefSeq and is a predicted model, not a curated record. Lineage: Eukaryota; Metazoa; Chordata; Mammalia; Artiodactyla; Delphinidae. The transcript is spliced from 20 exons.